This is a non-coding RNA of Tetranychus urticae (two-spotted spider mite), 1395 nucleotides long. Lineage: Eukaryota; Metazoa; Arthropoda; Arachnida; Trombidiformes; Tetranychidae. The record is from RefSeq and is a predicted model, not a curated record.
CAUAACCAUUGAAUUUGUUUUUUGUUUUCUCAAUUAAAUAUAAAUUGUCAUCAAAUUAAUGCUAUUUUUAUGUUUUUUUUGUUUUUCUGAUUUAAUUAAAGAGUGAAAUGUGAAACUACUGAUAUAGUUGAGUCCAAUUAAUUAGUGAAAUGCUGUUUAUUUAUGAGCAAUCCUUCAAACUGUGUCAAAACUGGUGAACCAAAAGUGUGUAACCCUAAAGGAAUGAACACUCAGAGAAGACCGCUAUUCAAUUAGAGUCUAUUUUGAUCGCUGUGAUACAUUGUUACAUUAUUGUUGGCCCACCAUACCAAAACUAGAUUUAUUGGUCCACCGGGAGAAUAAAAAAUUGACAAAUUAUGGAUAAACUCGUAAGCCUACUGAAAGUUCAAGGCUUAAUCCUAAUGGUAAAUUAGUUUACAAAAUUGGAUUCAUAAAAAAUUCAUACAUUUUAGGAAAAACUAUUCGUUAUGGAAUUCGUUAUACUGGACUUCAAAACAUUUAAUGGACUAAGUUAAUUUUGCCGAGAAAACAUGAGAUCAAAUUUCAUGACAUUCACCCACAAAAAUUGUCAUUAUUACAUCCAUCAUCUUCCAUGAGUUUCGGAAAUCUAUGGAAAUUCUUGAUUCAAUGGAUGAACGGAUAUCAAAAAAGCUCACCAAGACAAGAGGAGCAUCUAAAAAAAUGAUACCACAAGCCACACAUCAUUGCCCUUUCAAGUUUAUUUUUUUCAAAGCCAUCUCCAGAAGCUGAAGCUGAAACCAAGCUAUGCAGAGACCAAUCUUGUUUGAAAUCUGACUUCAUAAUUACCAGUGUCUGAAUGGUAACAACAAUUUUCAUGUCAGUUUUAGUCAAUCAGUUCUAAUGGUCACUCUGCUCAAAUACUCACCCUUUCAUUUUGAGCUGGAAAGGAGGAAAAGCAACUCGAAUCAUACACAUUGUAUUUACCAUUUCUUGAGAAAAAAAAGUUAAUUCAAGGUAUCCAUUACUUUUGGUUCCAAGGAAAAGCAAUCAACAACAAUGUGUCUAAGACUACCAUGGGGCUGUUAACGAUCCCAUUGCUUUCGUAAUUGUGUUCAUGGUGAAAAUGAGUAACCUUGUAAGCUAGUUUCAACGAAUAAGCUUCUGGUUUCAACACAAAAAAAGUUCUUAUGUUAUUGGGAUCAAGAAAGGAAAGAUGGGAUUCUACUUGAAUUGAAGCAAACACUUUUUUUGGAAUAAUGUUGAUUGUUGCCUCUUUCACUUGAUGUUUCCUUACCAUUUCCAACUAAAGAAGUCACGUUGACAAAAGCAAGAGGAAAGUAAACAAAGCAAAUGGAUGUAAAAAAAGAUGAAACAAUAAGAUGAUUCAAAUUAAAUUGAAUUUUACACUAUUAAAUUUGAGGCCCAUUUAGUUCA